This 104-nucleotide Y RNA is filed under the name Microcebus murinus (gray mouse lemur). Its description in RNAcentral is "Y RNA (ENSMICG00000037411.2)". It matches the Rfam family "Y RNA". From Rfam's summary of the family: Y RNAs are components of the Ro ribonucleoprotein particle (Ro RNP), in association with Ro60 and La proteins. The Y RNAs and Ro60 and La proteins are well conserved, but the function of the Ro RNP is not known. In humans the RNA component can be one of four small RNAs -- hY1, hY3, hY4 and hY5. The record is from Rfam by way of RNAcentral. Lineage: Eukaryota; Metazoa; Chordata; Mammalia; Primates; Cheirogaleidae.
GGCUGGUCCGAAGGUAGUGAGUUAGCUCACUCUGUUGUUCACAGUUACAGGCUGAACUUGUCCUGCCACUUUCCCCUCUCACUACAGCACUCCACCAGUCUAUG